UACGAAGGGGGCUAGCGUUGAUCGGAAUUACUGGGCGUAAAGCGCACGUAGGCGGACUCUUAAGUCAGGGGUGAAAUCCCGGGGCUCAACCUCGGAACUGCCUUUGAUACUGUGAGUCUCGAGACCGGAAGAGGUGAGUGGAAUUCCUAGUGUAGAGGUGAAAUUCGUCGAUAUUAGGAAGAACUCCAGUGGCGAAGGCGGCUCACUGGUCCGGUUCUGACGCUGAUGUGCGAAAGCGUGGGGAGCAAACAGG
Molecule: ribosomal RNA, 253 nt
Filed under: uncultured bacterium
Lineage: Bacteria
Description: partial 16S ribosomal RNA
Rfam family: Bacterial small subunit ribosomal RNA
Source: RNAcentral